RNAcentral lists this ribosomal RNA (494 nucleotides) under uncultured bacterium. Its description in RNAcentral is "partial 16S ribosomal RNA". It matches the Rfam family "Bacterial small subunit ribosomal RNA", at positions 28 to 507 of the family's 1533-position model. The record is from RNAcentral.
GAUGAACGCUGGCGGCGUGCUUAACACAUGCAAGUCGAACGGAAAGGCCUGCUUUCCCUUGUGGAUUGCGGGUACUCGAGUGGCGAACGGGCGAGUAACACGUGAGUGAUUUGCCCCCAACUUGGGUAUAAGCAUGGGAAACUGGGUCUAAUUCCCGAUAGGACUGCAGGGUGGUGUCUGUGGUGGAAAACGAUUUUCUAGUGGUUGGGGAUGAGCCCGCGGCCUAUCAGCUUGUUGGUGGGGUAAUGGCCUACCAAGGCGGCGACGGGUAGCCGGCCUGAGAGGGGGGACGGCCACAUUGGGACUGAGAUACGGCCCAGACUGCUACGGAAGGCAGCAGUGGGGAAUAGUGCGCAAUGGGCGGAAGCCUGAUGAAGCGACGCCGCGUGGGGGAUGACGGCCUUCGGGUUGUAAACUCCUUUCGACCGCGAGGAAGCCACCUGGUUGGAAGGGUGGUGACGGUAGUGGUAGAAGAAGCACCGGCUAACUACGUG